AACGAACGCUGGCGGCGUGCCUAACACAUGCAAGUCGUGCGAGAAAGUUCCUUCGGGAGCGAGUAAAGCGGCGCACGGGUGAGUAACACGUAGGUAACCUGCCCCCCCAGUCUGGAACAACUAGAGGAAACUCUAGCUAAUGCCGGAUGAGACCACGAUCCCUUCGGGGGUUGCGGCCAAAGAUGGCCUCUACUUGUAAGCUAUCGCUGAGGGAUGGGCCUGCGGGCCAUUAGCUUGUUGGUGAGGUAACGGCUCACCAAGGCUGUGAUGGCUAGCUGGUCUGAGAGGAUGACCAGCCACACUGGGACUGAGACACGGCCCAGACUCCUACGGGAGGCAGCAGUGGGGAAUAUUGCGCAAUGGGCGAAAGCCUGACGCAGCGACGCCGCGUGGGUGAUGAAGGCC
This 405-nucleotide ribosomal RNA is filed under the name uncultured bacterium. Its description in RNAcentral is "bacterial SSU rRNA". It matches the Rfam family "Bacterial small subunit ribosomal RNA", at positions 29 to 416 of the family's 1533-position model. The record is from RNAcentral.